GGCCAAAUGAAAGAAUAUCAAAGGUGAUCAGCUUGCCAAAAGGUUUCGAUUUUAAACAUAUGUCUGUAGAGUGGUGCGGACUUUAUGGGGAGCUUUGUACAGAUGAGAGAUCAGCGCCAGGUCACUCUUUCUGCAACUUUCAUUUGCUCUGCUUUCUUCUUGCCGUCAUUUCCUUGGCCCCAGGAAAGACUGCCUGACUUGUUUGUGUAAACCUGAUGACAGAACUUGGACAAACAGGAAGAAUGCCUAGGCAUAGAGGAAGAGGCUCAUCCACACAAGACUCACUGACUUAAAGAGGAGCCAAAAACCCUCAUCAGAAGAGUUAGUUCCCUCUAGCCAUGUUUGCAGUGGUGGGACUCCAGCUCAGAGAGGAUUGUACUGCCUAGCUGCUCCUGGAGGUCUGUGGAAAAGGAACAUGGCCACCACUUCCCAGGAGCUUGGCUGAGGCUGCCACCAUACUCAGAUUAAGCCUUCCAAGGCCUUUGGUCAAGCAAUGGGAGUCUCAGAAGGCAUGAAAAGUAUUGACCAGUUUUCUAACCUAACAACUUCUCCAGUCCUAGAAGAAAAUGCUCCAGUCCUAGUUCUGGACUCCAGGGAAACUAGGAAAUGAAGUUGUGGCUUGGAGUCAGUCAUUAUUUAUGGCAUUUGGCACAUAAAACCCUGAUGAACCAGAAACAAAAUGAAAGAAAGGAGAACUGUAAACAAGGUCUUUCAGUGCUAAUUUUAACUCCAGGAUGACAAAUAGAGGUAUAGCAAUACAACAACUACAGCAACUUCAAUCAUUUUCCUAUAUUUAGUACCUCAAAAUUCAAGUUGACAGGUAUGCCUCACCUAAAUUCUGAUGCGUGUCAUCUCCUGAUUUAUGAGUGCUUGGUUUUGCAGAACAAAUAAAAUUCUCCCCGUUACUUAAUGGUGCUGAAGAUAUUUCUUCUCUUACCUUUCGUUAUCUUCUUUUUCUGUUGCUACUCAUAUCUGUCACCAGUCAUGUCUUUAAAUCCUUCCAUAGAUAACCUGUUCUAUGACUUUCUGAAGCUUCUAUUUUAUGUCACAGUGUUUUUUCCCUUUGCUUUCUAUAUCAUUGGUGUACAAUCUCCAGAGUAUCAAGCAACUUACAGAGUGGCUUGAAAAGCUGAAUCACAUUGAACUCAAUGUCUGAGAGUCAGUAUUCUUUGCAACUGCUAAUAGCUUUGAGCAAGCCAGUUUAUUUUUCAGUGUUUCACUUUCUUCCCCUGAUUUCUAGUAAUGCAGAUAGAGUUCUCUUUUCUGAGCAAAAUGUAAUCUGGUAGAUAGCAAAUUGGGUUGGUAGCAGGAAAAGGGGAGAGCUUUCAUCAUAAGAAUAAAAUGGACCUAAAGGUUUUAUAAAUUAAAGGCCAAUUAUUCCCAGGAGUGCAUGGGGAGCCUUCCACAGCAAUCACUCUUGAGAAUCUGAAGGCAGAACAGGGCCUCGACCAUCUGUAUUUGGACUUUGUCAGGCCAUUUGUUUGUAACCGGAAUUGUAUUGUUGCUCUGGUUUUCAGUAAAGGGAUGUUCACUGAGGCAUCACAUUGAUAUUUUUGAAGUACGUUCCAUGUUUUCAAAGAAACAAAUUUAUCAGCAAUGAAUUGAAAUGUCUAGCUGUUUCCGUAUGCUGUAGAGAUUUCACAUCAUGCUGCUGUGCAUGUGCAUUCAUUUUUCACCUGCUGGAUGUAAUGGGAACAAGUUCAAUACAUGAAUGAAAGCAUGUUAACAAGGAAGUGAUUUGGCCAAACCAUGCUUCUUCCUCCUAACAGAUAAAAAAAGCCCUGAAAAAACAAAGGCUGAAGGCACAAGCUUGUUUUCAUUAAUCAUAAAUCAGAGACGAUCCCCAAAUAGUAUAGUAGGAGGCAAUGUUGACAGUAGACCUGUGGGAUUUUAACAAACUCGGCUCCUGUUCUUUGUUUUACCUAUAUCUAGGUUAACUACUGUCUGAAAGAGCUUUGUGGGAAAAUCUCAUCUUAUUAUCUUAAAUAAAAAGAGCUGACUAUUUGUGGAAAAACUCAUCAGGCUUUCAUUUUCAAGUUCUGUACAAGGCUGACCCUUUGUCUGAAGUAUUAAAAAUCCCACAGUGGAUGUAUAAAUUAUGGCCUAUAGUAAGGACUUUGGGACAUUCCACUGAGUAUGUUCACAAAAUUUGAGUAAGGCUGUUGUUCCAGAUGAUGCAUGUGGCUCACAAUCCUGAGAGCUGAAAAGCUCCCUGCAAGACCAAGAGGCCAACCAGACUGAUUCUUUGGACUUUGAACCUCCAAUGUUACCUGCUAAUAUGGCACAUAGAGCCAUGAUUGAAAGUGUCUGGGUACUAUGAGCAACACCUAUACUUCUGGGACCAACAGACCUCAGUCUGCAUCAUGGUUGACAGGAUUGCAAUAUCUGGUAUAUUUUCUGCAGUAUUUCUCAGCAAAAAGAGCAAGGCUAGAGAUGAAAAUUCGAAAAACCUCUUAAUGGAGUAUUUUAAAGUCUAGGAUCACAGCUUUUGAGGUCCCUAGUACCAAUGAAACAACCAACUAGUUACUGGGGGUCAGAAGGAGAAAAGAGGAAGAGAGGGAAAGGAAACUACAUUGAAGGAAGGUGAUUCUGUUUGGAAAAAAUGUCUCAUACAGUUUGGCAACUCUUACCAUGCUGUUGCCAACUUGCAAGUUCAUAUGAGGUUUACAGCAAGUUACAGGAAGAAUAAAAUGUUAAUCAUGUGCAGAACCUUAGUUGUAUUCUCGCCAUCUAUUUCAACAACAGUAAUAACAUACAGACUAAGAAGUGAUUACAGAAUGACAUAAGCUUCUUUUCCAUUUGAAUUUGAAAAUGUAUUUCCAUUUAAAGCUUAAUUUUUAUGUGCUUCAUCCAAAAUUAAGAAAACAAGAGGAUGUGAUUUCCAAGCACUAUAUAUAGGCUGGAUCUGGUGUCAAGUUUUUCUAACAGUUAUUAGCUGUGUUAAAAGCAGUGACUUUUAACACAGUAUCUAAAAAAAAAACUUACCAGCAUUUUAUGGUGGCUUAAAAAAAAUACAAAGGACAACAAGUUGAAACAUGGGGAAGAUCAGUGACAAAGGUACUUAGUCAACAAAAGACUUAACUGCAUGUUGCAGAUUGUAUCUUCUUACAAAAGCCUUUCAUUAAUGAACUAUGUGUUAGAAAGUCUGUUCAGCUGAUUAAACUUUUCUAUAUCUGAAA
This is a long non-coding RNA of Gallus gallus (chicken), 3179 nucleotides long. RefSeq lists it as uncharacterized. Lineage: Eukaryota; Metazoa; Chordata; Aves; Galliformes; Phasianidae. The transcript is spliced from 3 exons. The record is from RefSeq and is a predicted model, not a curated record.